GCCUACGGCCAUACCACCCUGAACACGCCCGAUCUCGUCUGAUCUCGGAAGCUAAGCAGGGUCGGGCCUGGUUAGUACUUGGAUGGGAGACCGCCUGGGACUACUGGGUGCUGUAGGCU
This is a ribosomal RNA of Anolis carolinensis (green anole), 119 nucleotides long. Lineage: Eukaryota; Metazoa; Chordata; Lepidosauria; Squamata; Anolidae. The record is from Ensembl.